UGGGGAAUAUUGCACAAUGGGCGAAAGCCUGAUGCAGCGACGCCGCGUGCGGGAUGAAGGCCUUCGGGUUGUAAACCGCUUUUAAUUGGGAGCAAGCGAGAGUGAGUGUACCUUUUGAAUAAGCACCGGCUAACUACGUGCCAGCAGCCGCGGUAAUACGUAGGGUGCAAGCGUUAUCCGGAAUUAUUGGGCGUAAAGAGCUCGUAGGCGGUUUGUCACGCCUGGUGUGAAAGUCCAUCGCUUAACGGUGGAUCUGCGCCGGGUACGGGCAGGCUAGAGUGCGGUAGGGGAGAUUGGAAUUCCCGGUGUAACGGUGGAAUGUGUAGAUAUCGGGAAGAACACCAAUGGCGAAGGCAGAUCUCUGGGCUGUUACUGACGCUGAGGAGCGAAAGCAUGGGGAGCGAACAGGAUUAGAUACCCUGGUAGUCCAUGCCGUAAAACGGUGGAUGCUGGAUGUGGGACCCUUCCA
RNAcentral lists this ribosomal RNA (469 nucleotides) under uncultured bacterium. RNAcentral describes it as "partial 16S ribosomal RNA". It matches the Rfam family "Bacterial small subunit ribosomal RNA", at positions 355 to 835 of the family's 1533-position model. The record is from RNAcentral.